RNAcentral lists this ribosomal RNA (253 nucleotides) under uncultured bacterium. RNAcentral describes it as "partial 16S ribosomal RNA". It matches the Rfam family "Bacterial small subunit ribosomal RNA", at positions 524 to 776 of the family's 1533-position model. The record is from RNAcentral.
UACAGAGGGUUCAAACGUUGUUCGGAAUUACUGGGCGUAAAGCGCGUGUAGGCAGCUCGGAAAGUCGGGUGUGAAAGCCCUGGGCUCAACCUAGGAAGUGCACUCGAAACUUCCGAGCUGGAGUGCUGGAGAGGAAGGCGGAAUUCUCGGUGUAGAGGUGAAAUUCGUAGAUAUCGAGAGGAACACCGGUGGCGAAGGCGGCCUUCUGGACAGUAACUGACGCUGAGACGCGAAAGCGUGGGGAGCAAACAGG